AUUUGGUAAUUUUGGGGAGAGGGAACACAAAGCAAAAACCCUAAGAGCCUAAUUUUUUUCUCCCCCCGUCAAAACCAAGCCGCCGGCCACAGCCCCCCCUACCUUCUGAUUUUUCUUCUUCAUCAGCCGCCGGACACAGUAACUCUUCUCCCAAACACAGCAGCCACCAUCUACCCAGCAGUCCCCUUUGAAUUUUUUUUCUUCUCCUGAAGCCAAAACGACGCCGUCCCUCCUUUUCUUCUCAUUUUUCCUUCCCAGCCGCUGCAACCAGAAAAGCCCCUCUCCUUCAUCUGCCUCACUCUCCUCUCAGCCGGUUCUCAGCCACCGUGAACGGACCGCCCACUCCCCUGCCUUCAACCGGCCCGAACGCAGCGACCAGCACCAGAUCCUCCCUCUCAGCUGCUCCGCUUUGCUCUUCGCAGCCCCUCAACCGGCCAGUAGCAACCCAGAGAACCAGCCACCGCCGAUCUCCCUUCCUCAUCCCACAGCAGCCGAUCACUACACCAACACCCACCGAUCGGUCCACUUCUCAGCCUCAGCAUCAUGACCAGCUAGCCUACAGACGACAACAACAAGACCCACGGACAUCGGCAGCAGGCGAUCUUCCAUCUUCAACCGGCGACAGACCCACGGUCUCCCUCUUCAGCCGCCAGCCGCCCCUUGCACAAACUGUCAGCCAUCUGAACAGAGAAGGUGAAAGAAAAGGGAAAGACCAGACCCUAAAAGAAGUCGAUCGGAAGACGUAGCAGAUCUAAGAAGGAGAUGAAAGAGCAGAUCGGAGAGGGAGAAAACAAAAAAAAAAACCAUUGCUUGUUGCGUUUUUUUUGGCUUUGCAGGUGGAGUUACUCCCCACCGCCGGUGCUGAAGGGGAAAGGAGGAGAAAACAGGGCAGAUCCGCCCGUUCUGGCAUGGUCGGCGGCGCGUGAACCCACGCGCCGCCAGUGGCGGUGGCGCGUGGGAAGACGCGCCACCAUGGGUUCAAGCAAUUCCUGGACUUUUAGGGCCUAUUUGUUUUUUUAAAUUAAUUAACGUAAUUUUUAUUUAUUUGUUUUGAUUUUGAAUUUGUAUUUAUAUUUGUAAUUUUGUAUUUGUUUUUGUAUUGUGGAUGUAAAAGAAAAGAAAAAGAAAAAGAAAGUGAUAAUAAAAAAAAAAGAAAAAGAAAAAGAAAUGUUUGUGUGUGUUUGUAAUUUUUUUUAUGAAUGUUAUUGAAUAAUAAAAAAAAUUGAAUUUAAUUUAUAUGCACAAAUAUCUAAAGGACAGAUAAAAAUCAUGUUGUAUUUUCCAUAAAAAUGUAGAACAUGUAUCUACAUAUAUUUUGGGGAACUAAUAACUGAUUUAUCAAAGCCUUAGAAUUGAGCUAAAAUUUUAUUUUUUAAAAUCACAGCAAGUCCACGAAGCGUGACCGUGAAUGUGGUGUGUAUUUUGUGUAUGAAUGAUUUUUUUUUUAUGAUAAAAUUGCAAGAACAAAGAAGAAUUUAAUAUUCUGAUUUGCUCACGAAUAAAGAAUUAUGAACUUACAUGUAAGUUGUAUUUUCUAAAAUUCGAUGAAUAAAUUAAAUUUUAAAACUUCUUUGACACAUCAAGUCCGCAAAGCAGCUUACCUCAGGUAGGGUGCGUUAGGGGUGUUAAUACCUUCCCUAACCACAACCAGUCCCUUACCCGCGAUCUCUAACAAGACCAGUACAUCCGGUUUCCUAGUAGCCCGCAAUCAAUUACUAGGUGGCGACUCUAACGAACCAAAAUCAAGCAAAUGCAACAACGAGAGAUGAAUCGUCAGCCGAUGCCGCGCGCUGAUUUGUUUUUGGGGUGCGACAAAAUGGCGACUCCACUGGGGAAGGUAUUGUUUUCAACAUUAUUGGACUAAGCUUUGUAUAUUUGAUGUGUAUGUUUUUGCAUUUUUGUGUUUUUUUUUAUUUUUGUUUUAUCCAUGCAUUUUGUAGAAUUAUCUCAUGCAUCACAUAGUUAAUUUUUUAAAAGCACACACAAGCUUCAGGUUAGGAGGGGGACUAGCAGCUUACCUUACGACUUUUAGUCAAGGUUUAAGUUUGUGUAAACCCCAACUCUUCGUUGAGUGCUUAGACUGGUAAUAGUUGGACACGUGCCAUCUCAUUGCCUACAAGCCCCCAUAUUGCCUCCACGAGGGCAAAUCACUGGGACAACAAGAGACCUUUUUUAGAGACCAAAUAGUAAACCUUCCUUUUGUCUCACUUACAAAAAUUAGAACCUGUCUUUAGGGUGUAUGCUCCGUAGACAUUGUUUUGCAUCCGAGCAAGCUCUUCUUGAAGCAUCUUGAACUCUAGACUUAUGGGUGACACAAUGACCGUCGCUCAGAAAAUUUUCAUUGUAGAGUUUGUGCAAGAAUCAAGGUUCUUGUUUCAUCAUACAAGAGUUGCGAUCAUAUGUCACCCCUCGAAGGGCGAGUUCGUCAUAUAGAUUACAUAUUCAUACAUUUAUCAUGCAUGUACCGGUUUGAAAGGUAGGUUCCCCCGCACAAGCUGUGCUGCAAGUGAUUGAAAAGAUGAGGGAAGUGAACAAAGGAGUCAGAUAGAGGCUCAUUAUCAGAUUAAGGUUGAGAGCAUCAAAGGUGAAACAACCAGACUCAGAUAUGCUCGAACAAGUGUUGAGCAUCAAAUGGAAAGAGAAUGUCUGCACAGUCUUCUGUGGGAACACUGCUUGUUCACGUCCAAUUGAAGUUGUAUCUCUCCUUUUCAGUCAUGAACAAUAACAACAAUGCUUUCAGUCAUCAACUAAUGACAACUUUGGUUCUUGUCCAUGUUGCACUGUUAAGUGUUCAUCACCUCCACAUCAUCUAAUGGAACCAAAUGACUACUAGCCUAUUGUUCAUGGUGCAUUAGUCUUCUUUGAAGUUACCCCAAUUAUGAGCCCAAUUCCAGUUCGGCAGCACAAGAUGUUGGUCUGAAAAACCAUGAUUAAACACUGAACUUCUACGUGGUAAAGCUCUCCCUGUAGAGAUUUAUUUGUGGAUCUGCUAAUGGGAAAUGCAAAAGGGAAUGUAUUAAUUUCAUAUGCUUUGAAGCUUUUUCCCACCAGUGGCAUGAGCAAAACAUUGUACUAGGCAGAGGAGUCAGGCCUGGUCUGAAAAUAGUAGUCGUCGAACUUCAACAUGGCAGAGCUCUCUCUACAAAAAUCUGUUUAUGAUGCUGCAACUUGAUAGUGCAAGAGGAGAUUUACUAAUUGCAUAUGCUACAAAUAUUUCUCUCAUCAGUUUCAGCACGAAGAAACUGUCGCAUGUUGAAGAGCCAGAUUUGGUUUGAAAAACAUUGAGCAGACAUCAAACUUCAACGUUGCAGAGAUCUCUCGACAGGAAUCUAUUUGUGGAUCUGUAAAUGGGAAAUCCAAGAGGGGAUGUAGUGGUUUCAGAUUGUCCACAAUUUUCUCCUACCAGUAUUGGCAUUAAAACGCAAAAAGUGGCUGUUGGUUGCACCGUUAGUGAGGAAUCAAAGAGGAAAUAGAGGAGUUGUGGAUUCAUCAGUUUCUCUUCCAAUUUUGACAAUAUAUGAUUCCAUACAUUUUUGUUUUUUGCGCACUGCAUGGAUUACCUAGAUAUUGAAGGGUUUCCAACAAUCCUAAAACCACAACAACAUUGGAAGAUUGAAAUGAUGUUGUGAGGAUUUGGCGAAGGAUUGAACAAGCUAUGAAGAGAGGAAAGAUUGAAGGAUCUGCCAUGGAUUCCAGAACAAUGAUGAGAGGUGAAUCAAGAGAUGACUCUGACGGCGGAAAACCUUAAUUAUGUGGUCUAGCCAGGUCUCACGGUAGCAUCAAUUGCUCAAAUGUCUUUACCAAGAUUGACAUUCCUCUGCCACUUAAGUUUGUCGACCAGAAUCUGCAUGAUUCUAGAUUUUUGCUAGACGCCGACAAAUCCCAUGCAGCCACCAUUUUCUAGGUGGUAUAAUCCAGACAGGAAAUGUGAUGUCAUGGUGGGGUCCUCGGCCAUUUCAAUGGAAUAGUUGCAAGAAUUUCAAUUGAAUAGUUAUCAUGUGAGUUUAUUUCCCAGCAUCUGCUAAAUUCCAGACUUUUACUUGACUCCAACAAAUCCCAUGCAACCACCAUUUUCUGGGUGGUUUAAUCCAGACAAGAGAUGUGAUGUCAUGAUGGGGUCCUCAACCAUUUCAAUUGAGCAAUUUCAAGAAUUUCAAGAAGCGAGUCCUGAAGUUGGAGAGCAAGAGACAAGUAAGAGUUUGUGAAGGAGGGUGUCAUUGGCUAUAUUGUUCCCCGAACAUCAUCAAAAUGACAGGUGAUCGAAAGUGCUUGGCAAAACACAGAUAUUGCCAGAAAAACUGAUUCAAGAAUUGUGAUGAACUGCCAAUCAUAUUGUUAUGGAAUUUUGCAUUUUUGUUUUGAUAUCACAUCUCAUCCUUCAACGAAACAUGCCUUGCUUUUGUCUCUUUGUUGUUUUGAAAUCAACAGAUGUUUAACAUUUUUUUUUCUAACAAAAUAUUUUGAUCAAAUUCCAACAUGCGAUAAAGGUUAAUCAAUCUGGAAGAUUAAAAGUGUUUUGAUUACAGAAAUGACUCGAUUCUUGUUGAAAUGACAUGAGGUGACCGAACAAAAUUUUGAGCACAUAUAAAAUUGAACCACCCACCAUGUAGCAUAAGUUUUAACAGUAUGCAUAAUGACAUGUAGUGGAUUCGGUAGUUAUGGACUCGUGAAUCAUGAUUCUUACAAGUCCAAAUCAUUACACUGGAUGAGGUCAAAAUUUAUCGGUUUUAACUGACCUUGCUUGAAAUGAGAAAAGGCCAUCUUUGAUAUCCCUUCACUUUCUAAAGAUUAUAUCCCUUGUAGUCCCAUUUUGAGCCUAGUGAAAUAUUUUCUUUCAAAAAAGAAACCCUGACUAGGAUCACACCCCAUACUGGGGGCAAAUGAGAGAUAUUUUGAAGACAUUGAUAUGAUUAAUGGAUAAAGAGGAAGGCUUAGAACAAAAGUCCAAUGAUUGAGAGAGAGCUAGAAGAAGACACAUAGACUGGGGGCAUAUAAGAAAAUUUUGAGGAAGGCAUAUAAAAAAAAAAAGAAUAAAAAAAAGAAGAAGUUGAAAUUGCCUUCACUUAAAUACAAGUCAAAGAUAAAGGAUGGAGAACGCCUAUCAUGUCUAUGAAAAGCAAAAGAAAUUUCAAUCAAGGAGGGACACAACAAAAGUCAAUACUAGAAAAAAAAAAAAAAACUAAGCUAUAAACGUGACUUUUGGUUUCUAUUAUAAAGCCUAUGAUGUUAUCAGAUGAUUGAGAUUGGUUAUUCAUCAAGAAAAGGGGGAUUUGCAUUAUGACUUAUGAUUAAGAAAAGUCUGAACUUUGAGGUUAACAAGGUUAUAUGUCGUUUCCUCUACAAAGACAAUAAUAGAAAACAAGUUGAUGAAUAGUUGAUGUUGAUCCUAGGUCUUUGAAACCCUCAAACACCUUUUGAGCCUUUGAAAUUCUUUUCUUUCAUAGCCAUGAACCAUAGCCUGCAUUACGUGCUUUUUAAAAGCCCUUUUCAAUCAAGCAAGCAAUUUGAAUCGAUAAAUGGCGCUCUCAAAACUUGAAGAGUUUUUUCCAUAAGGGUCGUGACUUCAUGAAUUAAGCUACUGGUUAUUAUGCAUGCUGAUAAAAUAAAUGCUAAGAAACAACCUUUCUUGAUAAAGCCUGAGCAACUUGUUUUUGAAAUUCAUAAAAAUGUCACCUCAUCACAGACCAUCAAAAAAUAUACCCAAAAUCAGAGUUUAAAGUGGAUAGAAAGAACCAUGGAAAAAACCAUUUUAAUCUUACAACGGGUCGAUUUCUGUUUUCAAAAUACGAGACAAUCAAAGGACUGUGUAUUUCGAAUAACGUGUGUUGGGUCUUUGAUCAAAAAAAAAGAAGCUUGAUUUUCAAAUGAUUUUCAAAAAGGACAUCUCUGAUUUCAUUUCAACAAACUAGACUUUGAAUAGACAUGAUCUUUGAAAUAUGAGAGUUGAUUCCAGAACAAGGAAGAUUAUCAAACACAGAAGAACAUCGAUUGAGUAUGCAAAAUCAUUGAUAGAAAUGACAUUGAAGUCCUCGACACUCCUUGAAAAGUUGAGCAGCUGGGGGCAAUACAGUCGACCUUGAAAAGGAAAAACAAGCAGUGCUUAGAUCAGCUAUGAGGCAAUGAUUAAAUGAUGAAUCAGUGAACUGAAGACAAUGAUGUUCAAAGACAGAUAAUCAAUGAACGAGCACAUUCAGAUCAUACUGGGGGCAAUGUCAUUCCAAAAUGGCCCAUGCUCUAGUGAACCCUGUCGGCAAUGGAGAAACAAGGAUGUACUUGAAGGACACUUUCAUAUCAUCAUCUUUUGAAACAUGGCUAGCAAUCGAUGAAGAUACACAGAUGAAUGUAAUUGAAUGGUGAAAAGAUGCACAUCACCAAGACUGGCUGUGGAACAAUGCCGCACUUGAAGGACAAUCUCAUAUUGUCAUCCUUUGCAACAUGGUUGUUGACAGAUGUUAUCACACAACUGCAUUGAAUGAAUGUCAAGAAGGUACCCACCUCGAAGACUGACUGUGGGAUAAUUUGUUUUGAAGCCAGAUGAGCGCUUCACCGCAUGAGUAUGGGUGAUAGAAGUAGCAUCAUUGACGAGGCCGAGACAUUUCUUUUCACAAUCUGAUUAGAAGAGUUGAAAGGAAUCUAUUGAGAAGAACACUGAGCAUAUAACCAUGAGCCUUUGUACUGCAAGCUAUGAGAUGCAUGUCUGGACGACUGGAUGAUUUCCAAGAAGGCUGAUGUUAACAUGUACUUGAAGAGUACUGUUUCAACUGGAGGCAAGAUCAUGACUGAUUGACAAUUUUAAUGGGCGUUGGCACGCACAACCAAUCAAAGGACAAUUCUUGAGAGAAUAUGGGAGAUGAAUGAUUUGUUCCAUUCCUUCAGGAUGAAUCGAGCAACACCACACUUGCAAGCAGGGUCAAACUUGAUGAACGAUGCGAGCAGUAAUUAUCGAAGACAGCUCGGGAUGGGCACUGCAUUUACAGCUGAGUGGAUGGCUAGUACAUGAAUGAGCCAAUACAUCGAAAGAACAAGAAAAGCUUUGGAAUGCAAACAAAGGCACCCUAUGACGAUGGAGCAUCAAAGAGGGGGGGACCUAUAUUUCAAAUCAGGUAAGGAUGCAUACAUGUCAUCUAACCUCAAAAAAAAAAAAAAAACAAAAAUUUGCACAUAUUUUUGAAUUGUUACAGGAAAAUCCUUAAUGAGGUCCAGCAAGAUGGUGGAAAAAGAAAGAAGCAUUGUGGUGAUGAUAAUAAAGAAUCAGUUUUGAUCAUGGAAUAAAAGGGAAGAUGGGAUGAACCCUACCAUUAGGGAAAUCCCAAAGAAAUGAAAAGAUCAACUUUGCAAUCGGGAAGCCUCGAAUUUUCAACCAUUGCAGUCAGGAAACACUGAGUUUUCAAAACCUAUGAUCUGAAAUUAGCAGGAAGCACCAAGUUUUCCAGCCCUUCUCCUAUCAUCCCCUCAGGACUUCGCCAGGUAAGUCCUAUUUUUCACACUUGUCAUAUCACAUCUUCCAUCUGGGUAGGUCACCCAUUACAAUGAGACCACACUUCAUAUUGUUUCCAUCCGGGUAGGUCACCCAUGACAAUGAGACCGCACUUUUUCACAUUUUUUCCAUCCGGGUUGGUCACCCAUGACAAUGAGACCGCACUUCAUCAUAUUUUUUCCAUCUGGGUAGGUCACCCAUUAUAAUGAGACCACACUUCAUACUUUUUCCAUUUUUGGGUAGGUCACCCAUUACAAUGAGACCGCACUUCACAUUCUUUCUAUUUGGGUAGGUCGCCCAUCACAACGAGACCACUUCAUCAUAUUUUUUCCAUCUGGGUAGGUCACCCAUUACAAUGAGACCACACUUCAUAUUUUUCCCCCCUGGGUAGGUCACCCAUAAGAAUGAGACCACUCUUCCUCCUUUCCACUUGGGUAGGUCACCCAUUAUAAUGAGACCACUUUUUACACAUUUUUUUGUUCCAGUUGAAUGAGGUCGCCAAAUGGGAUCUCAUGUAGCUUUGGUUAAAGGGACUCUCCAUAUAGGAUUUCAGGUUGACCGAGCCACACACACAGGAUUUUUGGUUCUAGUUAGAGGGGAUUGCCGAAAGGAAUCUCAGUCUAUCCCAACCACACACAGGAUUUUGGUUCUGGUUAGAGGGGAUUGCCGAAAGGAAUCUCAGUCUAUCCCAACCACACACAGAUUUCGGUUUUGGUUAGAGGGGAUUGCCGAAAGGAAUCUCAGUCUAGCCCAACCCUACACAUUCCUUGGUUAUGGUUAAAGGGGAUCAGCGAAGGGAUCUCAGUAUAACCUAAUUGGAAAGGAUUUUGGUUCUGGUUAGAGAGGAUUGCCGAAAGGAAUCUCAGUCUGGCCCAACCCUACACAAUUCCUUGGUUAUGGUUAAAGGGGAUCGGCAAAGGGAUCUCAGUUUAACCUAAUUGGAAAAGAUUUUGGUUCUGGUUAGAGGGGAUUGCCGAAAGGAAUCUCAGUCUAGCCCAACCCUACACAUUCCUUGGUUAUGGUUAAAGGGGAUCAACGAAGGGAUCUCAGUUUGACCUAAUUGGAAAGGAUUUUGGUUCUGGUUAGAGGGGAUUGCCGAAAGGAAUCUCAGUCUAGCCCAACCCUACACAUUCCUUGGUUAUGGUUAAAGGGGAUCGACGAAGGGAUCUCAAUUUAACCUAAUUGGAAAGGAUUUUGGUUCUGGUUAGAUUGGAUUGCCGAAAAGAAUCUCAGUCUAGCCCAACCCUACACAUUCCUUGGUUAUGGUUAAAGGGGAUCGACGAAGGGAUCUCAGUUUAACCUAAUUGGAAAGGAUUUUGGUUCUGGUUAGAGGGGAUUACCGAAAGGAAUCUCAGUCUAGCCCAACCCUACACAUUCCUUGGUUAUGGUUAAAGGGGAUCGACGAAGGGAUCUCAGUUUAACCUAAUUAGAAAGGAUUUUGGUUCUGGUUGAAGGGGAUCGACGAAGGGAUCUCAGUUCAGUCUAACUACACAGACCUUGGUUAUGGUUAAAGGGGAUCGGCAAAGGGAUCUCAGUUUAACCUAAUUGGAAAGAUUUUUUGGUUCUGGUUGAAGGAGAUCGGCGAAGGGAUCUCAGUUCAGUCUAACCACACAGACCUUGGUUAUUGUUAAAGGGGAUCGACGAAGGGAUCUCAGUUUAGCCUAAUCACGCAGAAUCACUAGAUGAGAUUUCAGGUUGAUCGAGCUACACACCGAUUUUUUGUUCUUGUUAGAUCGCCAGAUGGGAUCUCAGGUAAACCCAGUCAAAAGGGAAGGUCGCCCGUGAAAAUAGACCAGUGUGAGUGUGUGGGCAGGUCGCCCCUGAAAACAGACCAGUGUGAGAGUGUGGGUCGGUCGCCCUUGAAAAUAGACCAGUGUGAGUGUGUGGGCAGGUCGCCCCUGAAAACAGACCAGUGUGAGAGUGUGGGUCGGUCGCCCUUGAAAAUAGACCAGAGUGAGUAUGUGUGGGCAGGUCGCCCGUGAAAAUAGACCAGUGUGAGUGUGUGGGCAGGUCGCCCCUGAAAAUAGACCACUUUGAGUAUGUGUGGGUAGGUCGCCCGUGAAAGUAGACCAGUGUGAUUGUGUGGGCCGGUCGCCCCUGAAAAUAGACCACUUUUCUUCAAAAGGGGCAUGUCGCCCAAGAUAAUAAGAUCAUUUUCUUUUUGUUUUCUUUACAAAGCUUACUAUGCAAAAUUUUGAGGAGUUUUGCUUCGUAAGCAUUGUAAAGAGGGGGCAACUGUUGUUACUCAAAUUUUGACCCACCUUUUUGAUAAAAUUUUCGGAAAAUCCAAAAAUAGCGAAAAACAACAAAAUCCAAAAAAAUUAUGUUUUUAAUAUAUUUGCAUCGUUUUUAGCAUUUUCAACGUCGUUUAAAAAAGAAUUUAAAUUUUCAAAGGUUUUUGGAGCGCGUUCGACUUUUCACGCGUCAUUUUUAAAAUCAUUAAUUUUUCUCAUAGAAUUGACGUUGAUUUUGCUCGUUUUUGAAAAUACAAGAAAAAUCAAAAUAAAAAAUAAAUAAAUUAAGGGACCAAUUUGGAGGCUUGAACAAAAUUUCACCUAUAAAUAUGGGUUGAAAACUCAAAAAAAAAAGGGGGGGGCAUUUGGUAAUUUUGGGGAGAGGGAACACAAAGCAAAAACCCUAAGAGCCUAAUUUUUUUCUCCCCCCGUCAAAACCAAGCCGUCGGCCACAGCCCCACCUACCUUCUGAUUUUUCUUCUUCAUCAGCCGCCGGACACAGUAACUCUUCUCCCAAACACAGCAGCCACCAUCUACCCAGCAGUCCCCUUUGAAUUUUUUUUCUUCUCCUGAAGCCAAAACGACGCCGUCCCUCCUUUUCUUCUCAUUUUUCCUUCCCAGCCGCUGCAACCAGAAAAGCCCCUCUCCUUCAUCUGCCUCACUCUCCUCUCAGCCGGUUCUCAGCCACCGUGAACGGACCGCCCACUCCCCUGCCUUCAACCGGCCCGAACGCAGCGACCAGCACCAGAUCCUCCCUCUCAGCUGCUCCGCUUUGCUCUUCGCAGCCCCUCAACCGGCCAGUAGCAACCCAGAGAACCAGCCACCGCCGAUCUCCCUUCCUCAUCCCCACAGCAGCCGAUCACUACACCAACACCCACCGAUCGGUCCACUUCUCAGCCUCAGCAUCAUGACCAGCUAGCCUACAGACGACAACAACAAGACCCACGGACAUCGGCAGCAGGCGAUCUUCCAUCUUCAACCGGCGACAGACCCACGGUCUCCCUCUUCAGCCGCCAGCCGCCCCUUGCACAAACUGUCAGCCAUCUGAACAGAGAAGGUGAAAGAAAAGGGAAAGACCAGACCCUAAAAGAAGUUGAUCGGAAGACGUAGCAGAUCUGAGAAGGAGAUGAAAGAGCAGAUCGGAGAGGGAGAAAACAAAAAAAAAAACCAUUGCUUGUUGCGUUUUUUUUGGCUUUGCAGGUGGAGUUACUCCCCACCGCCGGUGCUGAAGGGGAAAGGAGGAGAAAACAGGGCAGAUCCGCCCGUUCUGGCAUGGUCGGCGGCGCGUGAACCCACGCGCCGCCAGUGGCGGUGGCGCGUGGGAAGACGCGCCACCAUGGGUUCAAGCAAUUCCUGGACUUUUAGGGCCUAUUUGUUUUUUUAAAUUAAUUAAUGUAAUUUUUAUUUGUUUGUUUUGAUUUUGAAUUUGUAUUUAUAUUUGUAAUUUUGUAUUUGUAUUUGUAUUGUGGAUG
RNAcentral lists this long non-coding RNA (11183 nucleotides) under Populus tremula. RNAcentral's name for it is "long non-coding RNA (PTRE_LNC003172)". The record is from RNAcentral. Lineage: Eukaryota; Viridiplantae; Streptophyta; Magnoliopsida; Malpighiales; Salicaceae.